CAUCGGUCCCCCCGCAACGAUCAGCCGUGAACCCGGUCAGGCCUGGAAGGGAGCAGCCGCAGCGGUGACAUU
RNAcentral lists this signal recognition particle RNA (72 nucleotides) under Pseudomonas sp. MWU12-2312b. RNAcentral describes it as "partial signal recognition particle sRNA small type". It matches the Rfam family "Bacterial small signal recognition particle RNA", at positions 1 to 72 of the family's 97-position model. From Rfam's summary of the family: The signal recognition particle (SRP) is a universally conserved ribonucleoprotein involved in the co-translational targeting of proteins to membranes. Archaeal SRP consists of a 7S RNA and homologues of the eukaryotic SRP19 and SRP54 proteins. In most bacteria, the SRP consists of a 4.5S RNA and the Ffh protein (a homologue of the eukaryotic SRP54 protein). Lineage: Bacteria; Pseudomonadati; Pseudomonadota; Gammaproteobacteria; Pseudomonadales; Pseudomonadaceae. The record is from RNAcentral.